CGCAGCCGCGGUAAUUCCAGCUCCAAUAGCGUAUAUUAAAGUUGUUGCAGUUAAAAAGCUCGUAGUUGAAUUUCGGGAUUGGCGCAUCGGUCGUGCCUCACGGGGUAUGAACUGGUGCAGUCAAUUUCUCACCUUCUGGAGAACCGCGAUGUCCUUAAUUGGAUGCCGCGGGGAACCAGGACCUUUACUUUGAAAAAUUAGAGUGUUUAAAGCAGGCAUUUUUGCUUGAAUACAUUAGCAUGGAAUAAUAAAAUAGGACGGCAUGGUUCUAUUUUGUUGGUUUCUAGGACCACCGUAAUGAUUAAUAGGGAUAGUUGGGGGCAUUAGUAUUCAAUUGUCAGAGGUGAAAUUCUUGGAUUUAUUGAAGACUAACUACUGCGAAAGCAUUUGCCAAGGAUGUUUUCAUUAAUCAAGAACGAAAGUUAGGGGAUCGAAGACGAUCAGAUACCGUCGUAGUCUUAACCAUAAACUAUGCCGACUAGGAAUCAGACGAUGUUAAUUUUUAAUGUACUUCG
Molecule: ribosomal RNA, 515 nt
Filed under: uncultured Entrophosporaceae
Lineage: Eukaryota; Fungi; Glomeromycota; Glomeromycetes; Entrophosporales; Entrophosporaceae
Description: SSU rRNA
Rfam family: Eukaryotic small subunit ribosomal RNA
Source: RNAcentral